This 149-nucleotide microRNA precursor is filed under the name Ovis aries (sheep). Its description in RNAcentral is "miRNA (ENSOARG00000023502.1)". Lineage: Eukaryota; Metazoa; Chordata; Mammalia; Artiodactyla; Bovidae. The record is from RNAcentral.
CAGGAUGCCAAGUUAAAUUUGAAUUUCAGAUAAACAAUGGAUUUUUUUUUUUAGUACAAGUCUGCCCUAUGCAAUAUUUGGGACAUAAUUAUACUAAAAAAAAAUCACUCGCUGCUUAAUGGAAAUUCAAAUUUAACAGAGCCACCUGU